ACAUUUACAUUUACAUUUAAGUCAUUUAGCAGACGCUCUUAUCCAGAGCGACUUACAAAUUGGUGCAUUCACCUUAUGACAUCCAGUGGAACAGACUUGCCUAGUUAAAUAAACGGUUAACAGACAGGAGAGAAUAAUGAGAGGGAAAGCAGCCGUUGUUCUCAACACACCUAUAUUUAACAUGUUGAUUGUUUACCAACACUGUUUAUUCUUAGUUACAGCAAACAUGUCAGGUAGUUACUCUGUCAAAAAAUAAAUACAUGACCAAGCCGCACUGUUUCAACAAAACUAUAGUGGGAUAUUGAAAGUGUAGCUAAAAUAACUUCUUAUCCAACAGACUACUAGAUAUGUAUAACACACUUCCCCGUUAAUCUAUGAUAUUACCUUGAGGGCGUAUUUGUCUCCGCUUUUCUUGUGGAAGAUCUCCAGCACCCUUCCGUUGAUGCCGUGUCCCAGUACCUGACUGGUCACUUUGUACUCGUCCGUUAUUGCGUUCUUCUUGAUCUGUAGGGUCGGUUUCACAUGAAACUGUGAGAGGUGACCCGAAGGGGGCGGGUUAGGUUGGCCCGCCGGGGUAGCUGGGCCCUGGGUCGGGGGGAACAGAGGCUGGGUCCCGGUGUUGGACAACAUAUUGGGUCAGCUCAACCAGACAAUGACAGCACUUUCCUUCUCUCUCUGUCGGUCUCUCCUUCCUGGGUUACAGAUGGGUGUACCGGAAACCUAGUUACAACACUCGGGUCUGCAGCUGCCAGUUUCCCGGUCCAACAACAGUGCGUCCCUCAGGACAUCCGGUGCCAGUGUGAUCCAGUUGUAGAGGUUCAAGCCGGGGGACGGACAGAUCAAUAAUUCAUCAAAGACAUGAGGCGUAACAUGCGGAAACAUCAGGCUCAGCCCAGGAGAAGCAGUACAUGAUCAACGCCACUCUCAACAAGGAGAUCUGCUGGACAUUAUCGUUCUCUAAGACAUUUAAACAUCACAGAUAGAAAUUCGCACACGAUAAAAUGCAACGUGGAUUGUAUUGUACUACUGGAUGAAACUGAGGAGAUGCACUCAGAUCUUUGUGAUUGAACUUACAUUAACUUAGACAUAGUAACCAGGAGUGGUAUGGUGUUGAUAUCGUGUAGGCAUAGUAACCAGGAGUGGUAUGGUGUUGAUAUCGAGUAGGCAUAGUAACCAGGAGUGGUAUGGUGUUGAUAUCGAGUAGGCAUAGUAACCAGGAGUGGUAUGGUGUUGAUAUCGUGUAGGCAUAGUAACCAGGAGUGGUAUGGUGUUGAUAUCGCGUAGGCAUAGUAACCAGGAGUGGUAUGGUGUUGAUAUCGUGUAGGCAUAGUAACCAGGAGUGGUAUGGUGUUGAUAUCGUGUAGGCAUAGUAACCAGGAGUGGUAUGGUGUUGAUAUCGUGUAGGCAUAGUAACCAGGAGUGGUAUGGUGUUGAUAUCGUGUAGGCAUAGUAACCAGGAGUGGUAUGGUGUUGAUAUCGUCCGUAUCUGAAGAACAAAAGGCAGUCCCUCCAGGAUUUCGCAACAUUUUUUCGGAAUUUCUGCAGCCAAAAAUGCUUGAAUUUGCGGCAGCUUUUCUGAAAUUCUGCGAUACAUUUCACAAUGUUUUUUAUGUGCUCAGUUUUAGGACAACUUUAAGCAGAAAACAUCAUACAAAAACAAUUAAACAUCUAAAGUGCUCAAUUGUGUUUAUUUUCCUGAAUAAACAACUCAUAAUAACUCAACGUCAUAAUCCUCUUCUCUCCAUCAGGCUUGGGGCUUGCUAUCAACUCAAGAUGCACCUCCCAUUCCUUCUCUCUCUCUCCCUCUCCCCCUC
Long non-coding RNA from Oncorhynchus nerka (sockeye salmon), 1814 nucleotides. RefSeq lists it as uncharacterized. The transcript is spliced from 4 exons. Lineage: Eukaryota; Metazoa; Chordata; Actinopteri; Salmoniformes; Salmonidae. The record is from RefSeq and is a predicted model, not a curated record.